Molecule: unclassified non-coding RNA, 390 nt
Filed under: Hevea brasiliensis (rubber tree)
Lineage: Eukaryota; Viridiplantae; Streptophyta; Magnoliopsida; Malpighiales; Euphorbiaceae
Source: RNAcentral
GUUUGAAUGCAUGACCUCCAACAUAUGCAUCUUUAGCAAAAAUUCAAGGAAAAAAAAUCAAGAUAAAGCUAACAAGAUACAGAUGUCAGUAUUUGAAUGCAUACAACUCUGAGAAUUUUCUGUUACAAAAGAAGAACAAAAAUCACUUUAACAAGGAAAAGAACUUCACACAAUCUUCUUCUCAUCACCUAAUACACAGCGACGUUGGAUCAACAAACGACUACAACACUUUACCGCGGCUUCAGUUGCCUCUCUUGGAAUAUCUUCCCCAGCUUCAUAUACAAAACUUUCUGCUCCUCCAAAGUAAGGCUCCCCAAUAUCUGGUCCAACACCUUCUCAACUGUAUAGUCUUGCGGAAAAACAAACGACUGAUGAUAGAUGUAGGCAAAA